This is an RNA transcript of Bombus pyrosoma, 8307 nucleotides long. It is a transcript of the gene named B-box type zinc finger protein ncl-1-like, with no coding region annotated. Lineage: Eukaryota; Metazoa; Arthropoda; Insecta; Hymenoptera; Apidae. The transcript is spliced from 12 exons. The record is from RefSeq and is a predicted model, not a curated record.
UAAUAAAUGAUUUUGAAUAUUUAUCCUAUACAGUGUUCAUGAAAAUAUAGUAUGAAGUGCGCGAAAUUUAAAAAAUGUUAUUUAAUCACUUUUUUUUAUACUGUAAAAGAGUCUUAUACUUGAAGAGUUUCGAUCUGAAAGAUAAUCAUACAAGGUUAAGAGGUGAUCCUAUGUGCAGAAAUAAAUCGAAAAUAUUGAAAAAUUGGGUCAAUAAGGACAUUCAAAGUUUACAACGUCUCUAAUUUUCGACAUAGUCGCGUGAUGUCGCCCGGUUUGCUGCAUCGACGAAACUUGGGGAAGUUUCUAAGUCCCGCGUUACGGGUCUAUAAGUGCACUCAUCGUUAUAUUAAUUGUUUGCAGGGCUCCUGCAUUGGGGUCAACUCUUCUUGGUUCGAAUGAUUUAUUCCUCCGCUCUACAUAUGAAAAAAUCAGAAAUAUUCGCGGUUUGAGGCGUCGGAUAACAAUUGAAAUUGAAACAAUCGCCGUUUCGUUAUCAUAAACGACUCAAAGGGAAUUCGUGGAUGAUCGAUAAAAAUGUUUCUUAGUACAUUCGAUACGCAAGUCAAAACGUUGAUCCUGUUCAAAACGAAUAUUUAAUACGAAUUCAGUUGGUAAGCAUUCCGAGACCAGUGACGAAGAGAAUAGUGUUGUUACAAAUGUAAAUAGAAAGAAGAAUAGAUUCAAAGCUUUUGCAGAGAGAGGGAAGGGAAACGAAUUAACCGCGCGUGUGUGUGUGACUACAGAAGUAAAACUUGGAAAGGAAUUUUUUUUAUCUCGAUAGACACGAGGAAACGAGAAAGAGAGAGAGAUAGAAGGAAAAUAAAAAAAGAUGGAAACGAAAUAUGUCAGAGCUUGAAAUGCUGCAUGACGAAAAUUCGUUCGUCGUAACGAGCGUCCUGCGUUGAUUUGAUUUUUUCUCUUUCUCUUUUUUCCGUUCAUUAGUGUGCGCCACAAGCAUUAUUUUUAUACACACGAUAGUAGAAAUCCCCGUUGGUAGUGGCCAACCGUGACUAGCAGUGUUUUGUUUCGUUGAUUAAACGAUCGAUGCUACGAUGUCUUGGCCCUCGUGUUACACGAUCUGAAAAAGGGAUCUCACGAUUACUCCGGCAAGACUGUCUGUAAGAAAUAAAGAAACUAUCCACAAAGGAGAAGAUAUUCGCAGACAAACAAGAAGUGAUUUACAAAGAUGGCAUCGUCUAUGGUGGCUGUUCCUUCUGGAACAGCUUCGGUUCCAGCUGGAACUGGUAUCACUCAAAACGAAGAUGUGGAGAAUGGGAAUGUGUUUACUGAACGAAACAUAAACACUGUUACCAGCUGCAGCGAGACCUCCAAUCCUGGUGAUGCCUUGGAAGAAAUAAACUGUGGCUCAGGUGAAUCAGGUGAUCAGGAAUGUGCUAUUUGCAUGAGCAAACUUUGUUCUCCACGAGUGCUCUCUUGUCUUCAUGUGUUUUGCGAGGCUUGCCUGGAUAAGCUUCUGAUGGACGAGGCAGGUGACUCUAAAGUUAGCUCUGUCCUAAUCUGCCCGCUCUGUCAACAAGAAACUUCCAUUAGUUCUAAGGGUGCUGCGUCACUGACAUGCGAUUAUGUUCUAACGAAUAUACUUGACAUGUCCGCGAUUGAGAACAUGGCUGUACUCUGUACCUCGUGUAAAGCCAAAGAGAGUGCGGUUGCACGUUGCUCGGACUGUGCCAACUUCUUAUGUCCGAAUUGCAACACCGCACACCAGUUCAUGCGUUGUUUUGAAAGUCACAAGGUCAUGGCCUUUGAAGAUUUAAAGCAAUCCAACGAAGCUAUACCAAUACACAAACCUAUUUUUUGUGAAUACCAUCCUGCUGAAAAUAUGAAAUUUUACUGCUACACGUGCCAGGAACCUAUAUGCAAUGAGUGUUUGCUUAUUGAACACAAAGCUCCAGAGCAUCAGUAUGAAAGACUAGUGGAUGCAGAACCACGCCAGAAAGAAGAAUUAAUAAAAUUGAUGAAUGAGAGUAAAGCAAGAAUUGCAGACUGUGACCAAGUAUCUGCACAACUAGAAAAUGCACUUAGUGAACUACAAGCACAACAUGAUCAAGCUAAAGAUCUAAUUGUAGAGACAUUUCAGAGUUACAAGGCUGUUUUAGAGAAAUGUCGAGACAAUGCCCUGGUUGAGCUUGAAAAAUUACAUUCAGAUAGGGAAUUAGAAAUAAUGGACACGUUUCAUAGCGUUGAAAAGACAGUGGAGAAGAUAGAAGAUGCUUGUCGUUUUACCUCCAGACUUCUUGAGCAUGGUGAUGCUGUGGAGAUCCUUGCUCUUCGUCGUAUCGUAGGAACACAGUUAAUGAAUUUAAUAAAAAACACACCAAAGCCAAAUGUUACAUUUUCUAUUCAAUUUCAAACCGAUUAUAACCAGUUUGAAAAAGCACUGAAGGAAGUCUUUGGUAAAUUUCAUACGGAAAGCACACCAGUAACAAAAUCCACUCCAGAACCAAUUACAACUAUGUCAGGAGUUUCUGCGAACCAACAAGUUGUUCAUAGUUCAAUGGGCUGUCCUCGUUCUAUUAGUACAAGGUCUCCCAUUUCCCUUUCUACAUCAAUGCAAUCCUCCUUCGAAGGUGACCCUUCAUUUGUUAUACCUCCAACGUCCAGCCCUCAAAAUAUUCCACCUCCACCACCUUCUGUAUCUCUUCCUCCAGGUCCUAUUCAUGGACUUACUAGUAUUCAAGAAUACAAUCUACAGCAGUUAGCUAGUCUGGCGGAAAAAGUCGAAAUGGUUGGAGACACGAACGUAGUUGGGCCGAGUUCGAAUCCUAGUCCAACGCCGUCUUUCACUUUAGCAGAUUUAUUUGCCGGCGAUCUUAGUUCUACCAGCCAUGCAAUUAAUAAUUUGCAAGCUCUUGCAAAAUUAGGAAACACACUUGGUAAUCAAGAUCUUGGCAAUCCUACUAUUAAUGGUGGUAGUGGUCUAGUACUAGGGAGAGGUCCUUCGCCAGCCAUUGUGGACACACCAAACUUGAGUCUAACUGCUAAUAGUCUUUUAAAUGGAGGAUUUCAAUCAUUAUCUUCAUCCACUUCUACCAUACUUUCACAGGGUGCUGAUGAUUUAAGAGGAGACUCCAUGCAUAACAUGCCUGUAGUAGUGGGAAAUACAGUUGGCAAUGUAACUGGUUCCGGUUCUGGAAAUUAUACUCAUCCGCGUUCGAAUAACACGAAAUUAACUCCUAUGCAAAUUAGGUGUAAAUUUGGACAGUUAGGUCCCAGUAAAGGUCAAUUCAGCUCACCUCACGGUUUUUGUUUAAGUGCUGAUGAAGAUAUUAUUGUUGCCGACACGAAUAAUCACAGAAUUCAGAUAUUUGAUAAGACUGGCAUAUUCAAAUUCCAAUUUGGUGUUCCUGGUAAGGAGGAGGGCCAAUUAUGGUACCCUAGAAAGAUCGCCGUGAUGAAAAACAGUGGAAAAUUUGUUGUUUGUGAUCGAGGGAACGAACGAUCGAGGAUGCAGAUAUUUACAAAAAGUGGUCAUUUUAUCAAGAAAAUAGCAAUUCGUUACAUCGAUAUUGUAGCUGGCCUAGCUGUGACUAGCGAAGGCCACAUUUUGGCUGUUGAUAGCGUAUCACCGACGGUGUUUGUAAUCAGCGAUACAGGAGAGUUGUUAAACUGGUUCGAUUGCAGUGAAUAUAUGAGAGAACCAAGUGAUAUUGCAAUUAGUGGUAAAGAAUAUUUUGUUUGUGAUUUUAAGGGACAUUGUGUUGUGGUGUUUAACGAGGAGGGAAACUUUUUGCGUCGUAUUGGCUGUGACAAUGUAACAAACUUCCCAAAUGGGAUCGAUAUUAGCGAUGCAGGAGAUAUAUUAAUAGGAGACUCGCAUGGUAACCGUUUUCACGUGGCUGUUUUUUCAAGAGAUGGUUCCUUGAUUUCCGAGUUUGAAUGUCCAUACGUCAAGGUCUCUCGAUGUUGUGGCUUGAAAAUAACCUCAGAGGGAUAUAUCGUAACUCUGGCUAAAAAUAAUCACCACGUCCUCGUGUUGAACACUCUUUACAUAUCAUGAAGCGAAGAGGCAGACCAAAUAAGUAUGUCGUAACUUUCUUCAGCGAGUGGAAUUAUCUUGGUGAAUGUCGCUCUACUCUCAACGAAGAACAAAUCGAUUAAUACGAAGAAACAAACGAAAGAAAGAAGAAAAAUAUCCAAUAUGCCCGUGACAUUGAAUUCUUUGAGAUUUGGGCCUAUCCAAGCAAUAGAAUUACAAACGAGUGCAGCAUGCAGCUUUAAUAGUCUGUAUAAAAGAAAAAAAAAAUGGAAAAACAAGUAUAAGUGCGUCCCUGUUUUAUGAAAGUAACAACGUUCGAAAGAAGAAAUAAAAAUAAAAAAAAAAUUAGGUAAACGUACGUCUCCGACCAAAAAACAGUAUAAAUAGUAAUUUAGCGAAGUUGCAUUUGGUAAACUGCCAAGAAAAAUUAACAUGAAGAAGAAAAAGAAAGAAACACAGUUGGGCAAGGAGUAGCAGAGAGAGGAAAUUGGAAGAAAGCCGAAUUGGAUCGCUUCGACCGGAAGUGGAGGAGGAGAUGUGGAAGGAAGUUGCAGAACAGUAGCUUUCCGUCACAAUCGGUCACAUCAUCUUCGACUUCGUCAGUAUUUUAGGUAUGUUUAUAAAUCAAAUUAUUCUAGUCUCUAAUGAGCACUGUUUUACACACUGAUUUUUCAAUCCGUACUCGAAGCAACGUGUAUUUUUAAUCUGGUGGUAUUACGAAAAUGUGUGAUAAAAGUGGCGACAAAGAACGAGUGGAAGGAAACGAGAAAUUAAUAAGACUUUUUCUUCCCUACGUUACUUCGAGAUCUAUUUGUAGAUACACUAAGUUUCUAAGAUUUCGUUAAGAAUCGUUAAGUAAUCUAAUAAGCAUGUUGAGAUACGAAAAGGUUACGGUUAUUAGAAGAAGUAAAUAAUAAUACAAAUUCCUGUGCUUAACGUUGCGGUGAAGACAAAUGUUGCAUGCUGCGACACAUGGUAGUACUUCCUGCUCUUAUCAUAUCAUAUCUCUAUUUAAAACAAACAAAUAAAAAAUGAAAAAAAAAUAAAACGAACAGAAAACACAUCCAGUACUCCUCGUUACGGCAGACACGAAGCUUAAACAAGAAAAAAGAACAAAAACUGAAAAAAAAAGGAAUAAUACGAGCUAUGUUCCUGGUGAUUCUUCUCCGUGCAUUUGAAAAUUAGUAGUUCAGAAAGAGUAAGAAAGAAAAGAGGAAUUUUAUGGGGCAAUGUUAAAGUAGAGAGAGAGAGACAGAGAAAAAGCAUAGAAAGAUACGUUGAAAAUCAAACAUUUAAUUGUCUUGCGAGACGAGGAAUCGUACACAAAUUACAUUCGAGAAAAUAAAAAAUCGAAAAUAAUUAUUCUAGACUUGCCACUGAUAAUAGAUCCCGUUUGUGCAUUGUUAAAAGAAACAGAAAAAAAAUAUAUAAUAGGCGAGGCACGUAAUGGUUACAAUAUUUACUCAGGAUGCUUUAUUAUGGUCCACCAUAUAAAUACAAUAUAUAUACAUAUAUAUGCGUGUGUGAAUUAUUGGUUCGUGGUGCUAGAGAAUAAUAAUAUAUCCAUACCAUGUAAAUGUAUUUGUUACAAAAAUUACAGAAUCGUUCCGAGAUUUAACAAUGCUGUGGAAUGAUCAUGUAAUAUAUUAUACAAGGUUCAUAAGUAAAAAUUAUACCACCGGUAUCAUAGGAACAAUAUCUUUAUCUAUGUAUAAAAAGAUUAAAAAAGGAAAAAAAAUUGAAAAAACAACGUACAGUUUGCUAAACAACUUCUAUUUAUGUAUAUAUAAUUAAACAUGAUCCGUAAGAAAAAAAAGAUGAAAAUCCAUGUAAAACACAUACAUAUAUAUAGAAAUACACAUAUUUUUUAGGGUUGUUUACAUGAUCAGCCUUAAGAUUUAAUUGAAACUAUAAAACAAAAAUAUAAAUGCAAUGUGUAUACAAUAUAUAUAUAUAUAUAUGUAUACACAUAUAUAUACAUAUAUAUAUAUAUGUAUAUAUACGGAUAUAUCUGGCAGAUCGCUAUAUAUUGUAUUAUAAUUACCUACAAUAACGAUUGAAUGUGAAUAACUAUCUUGCCAUACCAAAUGUUAGAAAGCACAUCCAUAUAUAUAUAUAUAUUUCUACUUGGAUAGCUUUGACAAAUUUGUUUUUCGCAUACAAAUUGGCUAUGCUAAAUAGAAUUGGUUUUAAAGAGAUGAAUGGCUAGUUAGUGAGGAAAAUGGGAGGAUAUGUUUAAAACCUCAAGGAGAACGGUGCGAAAUUGCAGAAACGCUAUAAUAGAGCUACUCAAAACAAAACAACAGAAAAAAAAAUAAUAAAUCUGCGCGUAACAUUUGUAGUAAAUUGCACGAAGCCUACGUACGUACACCUAAGCUAAUAAGUCGUAAUCAUCUUUUAUUAUUAGAAGUUUUAAUUUUAUAUAUAUUAAAGAAAAAAAAAGAAGUAAUUCUGAAGUAUUUAAUAGUCAUGGUUAGUAGAGUUAUAUAAAUAAUGCCUGUGAUAAUAGUAUCGUCAGGAUAAGUUGUGUCCUUACAGAGUCUUUGAUGUCGUUGCAAGGUAAAUAUUAUUAGAGGUACCGAAACGAAAUGUUGUUAGCGAGACGCCUUGUGGAAGGUGUAUUUCUGUUUAAUGCACAAUAACACCCGAUACAAAGCCAUCGAAUGGUCUCUAAUGGUAUGUAUGAAUUAUAUACACAAUACACAAUAUGAAUAUAAGAAAAGAGAAGCAAAAAGAUAAUAUUGAGAAAAAGUAAAGAGAAAUAUGUUGCAAACAUUUUUGCCAGUCGUAUUUGAAGACAAAGAAGAAGAAAAUAAAAAAUGGACUCAUAGUGUAAUGAAUGGAUGACCAUUAAUGAGAGGGUCUUUUACCUCACAAAAUUAUUAUAUUACGCUCACUUGAAUAUUUUAGUAUAUAGAUUUACUCUAUUUACAUAUUUUUAUCUGUGGAAGACUACUUGGCUAAUUUAGGCCACUGUUGAAAUUCACCCCUUAUUUGCCUUGAUGUUUAAAUUACAAUAAUAAUAUAAAAGGAAAAAAAAAAUGAAACGGGGAUUACAUGUUACGUAAAUGGUAAUUGUGAUAGAUUUUUUGAUGAUUUUUACAAUCUCAAAAGUCUUAUUAUCCUAAUAUGUAUAGAAUUAUAAUAGUCACUCUCGACAUAAAAACUACAUAAAGAAAACUCUGCUUACAUUGUUAAAGAAAAAUAACUAAUAAUUAUUAAAUGACAAAAAAGUAAUGAAUAUAUCACCUUAUUGUAAGCAGUUUAUAAGAGACAAAAGAUAUAUAUACUAUCAGUCUAUUAAAGUAAACGUAUUCAGAUAUGUUCUACGUAUUAUACUUUUAUCUGAUCUAAUGUUUUUAUUGCUAUAAAAAAAAAAUAUAUAUAUAUAUAUAAAUAAAAACAGUUUCCAAGGCCUUUUUAGAUGCCACCUAAAUAUACUUCUUCGACACGAUUUCGGUUUUUGUAAUGGUUCUUUGUGUUCGUUUACGAUGACGUGCUAUCUAUGUGCAGCUUAAAAGAAACACAAAAAAAUAGAGAGGGGAAAGAGAGAAACAAGAAAUUAAAAUUCAUAAAAAAGGUGUCCAUUGUUUUUACGAUUCGUAUCUAUGAUAUCUUUAUAACAAUGAAGAACAAAUUUAAUUAAUUUAACGAAGGAUUUAAAAAUUUUUUAUACAGUAGAAAAGGCUCAUAACUAUUGAUUCGAUCAUUCCUAUGUAUCUAUUGACGAAGGAAACAUUUGUUUCUGUAAAUAUUUGGUUUUAUGUUUUCGACAUUGAUUAAUAAUCGGUGUAUUAAUUAACAAUGUGUACAAGAAUGAGUUGCUGCAAUUGUAAGAAUGUGUACGAAAGAGAAAAAUAUACACAUCUGACAAAAGCCGUUAUUUGUCAGCCGUAAAAGAUGAUGUAAAACAGGAAAAUUGUGUCGCAUAGUCAAAACCAAAAAAAGCGGAGGGUAUGCUACGAACAAGGAAAAAAGAUACGAAAAAUUAAAUAUAUAAAAUAUGUUCCUGAUUUUGAAGAUCGCAUCACAUUUAAGUGAUACAAUAAAAAUAAGAUUACACUUGCGAGUUUUUUGCGGAUAUCGCGUCGGGGGGCACUUAUAUAUAUAAUAUAUAUAUAUAUAUACACAGGUAAUAUAUGAUAUAUACAUAUACACAUUAACGAUAGGAUUUAAAAUGAAAAAAAAAAAAAAAAGGUUGCGUCAUUAACUGAAUUCUAGCCUACGGUUAAUCAUAGUCUUCCUAGAGUUGUGGAAAAAACAGAAAGAAAAAGAAAGGUUUUAUCUUUACACGAUUACCGAGUUUUUUU